This 429-nucleotide ribosomal RNA is filed under the name Chloroflexota bacterium. RNAcentral's name for it is "Chloroflexi bacterium partial 16S ribosomal RNA". It matches the Rfam family "Bacterial small subunit ribosomal RNA", at positions 355 to 776 of the family's 1533-position model. The record is from RNAcentral. Lineage: Bacteria; Bacillati; Chloroflexota.
UGGGGAAUAUUGCACAAUGGGCGCAAGCCUGAUGCAGCCAUGCCGCGUGUAUGAAGAAGGCCUUCGGGUUGUAAAGUACUUUCAGUCGGGAGGAAGGUGGUAAGGUUAAUAACCUUAUCAAUUGACGUUACCGACAGAAGAAGCACCGGCUAACUCCGUGCCAGCAGCCGCGGUAAUACGGAGGGUGCAAGCGUUAAUCGGAAUUACUGUGCGUAAAGCGCACGCAGGCGGUUGAUUGAGUCAGAUGUGAAAUCCCCGGGCUUAACCAGGGAAUUGCAUCUGAUACUGGUCAGCUAGAGUCUUGUAGAGGGGGGUAGAAUUCCAUGUGUAGCGGUGAAAUGCGUAGAGAUGUGGAGGAAUACCGGUGGCGAAGGCGGCCCCCUGGACAAAGACUGACGCUCAGGUGCGAAAGCGUGGGGAGCAAACAGG